This 15507-nucleotide long non-coding RNA is filed under the name Musa acuminata (dwarf banana). Its description in RNAcentral is "long non-coding RNA (MACU_LNC002192)". Lineage: Eukaryota; Viridiplantae; Streptophyta; Magnoliopsida; Zingiberales; Musaceae. The record is from RNAcentral.
AAAAAAAUAUAAAAAGAAAGUGGUAUGUUGAAGUUUACUUCAUAUUAGUAAAGCUCAUAUCUCAACCUUUAUCUUCUAAUACAUAACAGUCCUUCCCCCACAAAAUUAGGACUCCUAGAUCCCUUGGAAAUCCUAUGGGGUUUUGAAGUUCCAGAAUAUGGCUAAACUGAAUCCUGAGUAGGAAUUGUGCAAAAACUCAUAGAUGGAACACCAGUGCUCAUGGGACAAAACUGGAUGACUGAAAGAAAUCACAUAUAGUCUAUGGUAAUGACCUGGAGAUCCAUUUCUUUUGUCAAAAAUGAUUAUCUAUAUAAUCAAUGUAUAUGACACUAAUUCAGAUGCCCUUUGACAAUGCUAUAUGAAUUUAAAUACAUGUUUCUUAACAUAUUCGGGAACGAAAACCAUAGAUAAUUACCUCCCAUCCAGGAACAAAAAUCAUAGAUCAAGAAACAAAGUUAGCAACUCCAUGUGGAUUCUCUUAUAAAGAUCAACGGACAUCGACAACCGUCAUACCAUUACACCCUACACAGUUUAGCAAUGAAAAAGACCUUCAAAUCAUAGUAAAGAACUAUAAUUCAGAUGCGAAACGCGUAACUCAAGCAGAUCGGCAGCAGCCAAGGCUUUCAGAUGCGCAUACAUACCCCAAGGUCCCACCAAAAACACAAACGAAUCGGAAAUCGUACUUCGAUUGAUCAACAGAAGAUUUAGGGCUACCAAAAUGGGCAACAAAGUGGUUCAGAAACAAGGCGAAAGGGCAAAGUGAGCCUUACCACAUCCCGCGAUCCGAUCGAUAACUACCUUCGAUCGAGCAUUGCAACUCCUCUUCCCAGCUUCUUUCGUCUUACUCUCCGUCCGCCUUUGCCGGAUGUAGGAAACGGACCUCGGUUCGCGAUUUACACGGUUAGAUCGAAUUCGAGUUUGAUUUGCAAUCUUGUGACCCACUUGUUCCCGAAUGAUUGCACCGACUCUUGUUUGGACAUGGCGAGUGUUGCGAUCCACCGCUCCACGUUCUCCCAUUAUGUUUGACGCAGACAUAAUAAUCUCCGUGAUGAAUUCUCCAAGGCCAUCUAUCAUUAUAUGGUUAUGAAACCAUGAUACUAGUAAUAACGGAAAGAACAUAGUAAAGAUCAUAACACGCAAUAAUAUUUGACAUGAUAGAUUGACUGGUCCGACCAAUGUGCCAGUCGCAUUAUGCUUGGUCGGAUCGCCGCUCGGUGGAGUCACGUCGAGAGGAAGGAGAUGAGAUGUACCAAAAUCCACAUUAAUGGAUCCAUUUAAGUCGGCGGCAUCGGUCAUAAUUGAUAUAUAAUAUUUCCAUUUAUUAUAAAUAUCGAAUCAGGUCAGUAUAAAUAAGAAUCGUUUACGGCUGUACUAUGUCGGGAUACUUAGUAACAAUUCUGGUAGGUGGGAAUUGGGCCCAACCAUAAUAAAUUGAGUUCUUCGCCAUUUCUCGAAGCUUUUGAGACCCCACGAGCAUACAAUAAUGAGAAAUAAAUAUCAGCUACCUGUGUCCCGUACCCGGAAUAAUUAUCCGCAAGUUGAACAGCAAGUAACUGUGGGCCCGGAGUCCUGAGGAAGCGUCGGCUGCUACCGCGUAGGUAAAAGACGUGGGAGAGAACCGUACGAACUGACUCCGAGAAAACGAUGGUGUCCAUCGAAUGACCGCCCCACGAAGAAACAUUGUUUCAUGUCCAACAGCAGAUCUCGUUGAAACGUGUCACCUUCCGCCGGCUUCGGCUUGCGCGAACGCGCGCCCCACCACGUGGGGCUGCCCCUCCGACGGGAAUCGGCGGUUACUUGGGGGAUGGCAUAACGGCGUCAUUAAACGGGCACACGGAAGCUACGCCACCGCGAAUGCCGACUUACAAGUAACGGAUUUGGACGUUACGUGAGGGUUCUGUGAACUGACGGAAACCGACACGUUGUUGGGAGAAUCCGACGUGGCGGUUUGGUGCGACCGGCCACCGACGGAGGACACCGGGGGCGGACCGCCAUAAAUGGGAAGAGCUAGUGACGGUUUCUCGUCGGUGACAACAAAACCUCCUCCUCCGGUGCACAUUCGUCUUCUAUUCUGCAUAAUUUUUUCGCUGAUUUGUUCUUGUUCUUCACGUUUUGUUGGCGUCAAGAUCCGUCUUUUUCUCCUUCUUUCCUCCGGGAAUCUCGACAAAAGCUGGUUUUUUCCCUUCCUUGGUUCUGAUUUCAGAGCUAAAGUUGGACUUUUGGGCACUUUACGAGCGUUACGGCGCUGUUGUGGUGGCUCCAGCGGGGAAUCGGGUUUUGUCGUGGUGGUGAUUGAAGUGACAAGGAUUGGAAUUGGGAAUCACAUCCAAGCUUUGAUCUUUCUUGGAGGUUUGAAGAUUGGAGCAGGAGGAUCCAUCCUGGUUCCCAGUUUUGGAGAUUGCCCUUGCAUGUCGGCCAAGUGUUGUUUGGUUACCCAUGAAAUAGCAGUGGCCGACGGCAUCCACCCACCACAAGGAGAUGGAGAAGGCCAGUGGUAAGCCCCAGCAGCCGCGGCUCCGCUUGCUCGCCACCCUUUGCGCCUUGUUCUGGAUCAUUAUCUUUUAUUUCCAUUUCGCCGUGCUCCGUCGCAGUAGCCCGAUGAGUCCGCCGGAGCAAACCCUUUCCUUCUCCUCCUCGUUCCCGUCCAAUUCCCAUCAACAUUUUGUAGUAGACAGCACGCCUUCUGAUGAAUCGCGCGCAUCGCAUUCAUCUAAAUUGAAGCCCCCGAUAGCAUCGAAGCCAUCGGACGCCCGUCGAGAGCCGCCGCAUCAUCCCCUUCCCUCCUCCUCGAAUUCGUCCAUUCCCAAACGACAACUCCCAUCGCAUUCAUCGAAAUCGAUACCGCCGCCACUGGAAUCGAAGCCAUCGGAUGCCCAUCGAUCGCCGCAGAAGACCUUCCCCUUCCACCGUGCCAUCCAGACGCUCGAGAACAAGAGCGACCCUUGCGGCGGGAGGUACAUCUUCGUCCACGACCUCCCUCCGCGGUUCAACGACGACAUGCUCAAGGACUGCAGAAAACUGAGCCUUUGGACAAACAUGUGCAAGUUCACCAGCAACGCCGGCCUCGGGCCGCCCCUGGAGAACGCGGAAGGCGUCUUCUCCAACACCGGGUGGUACGCCACCAGCCAGUUCGCUGUGGACGUGAUCUUCGGCAACCGAAUGAAGCAGUACGAGUGCUUGACCAACGACUCGUCCAUCGCCGCCGCAAUCUUCGUGCCGUUCUACGCCGGCUUCGACAUAUCGCGGUACCUAUGGGGGUACAACACCUCGGUGAGGGAUGCAGCGUCCCUUGAUUUGGUGGAUUGGCUCAUGAAGAGGCCGGAGUGGAGUGUGAUGGGCGGGAGAGACCAUUUCUUGGUGGCCGGAAGAAUCACCUGGGACUUCAGGAGAUUGACGGAUUCGGAUUCCGACUGGGGCAGCAAGCUGCUGUUUUUGCCGGCUGCCAAGAACAUGUCCAUGCUGGUCGUGGAGUCGAGCCCAUGGAACGCGAACGAUUUCGCGAUUCCAUAUCCCACUUACUUCCACCCUGCAAAGGAUGCUGAUGUUUUCGUCUGGCAGGAGCGGAUGCGGAAGCUGGAGCGGAAGCAUCUCUUCUCGUUUGCAGGGGCACCUCGCCACGACAACCCGAAAUCUAUCAGAGGGCAGAUCAUAGACCAGUGCAGGAAGUCCAAGGUCUGCAAGCUGCUGGAGUGUGACUUCGGAGAGAGCAAGUGCCACUCGCCUAGCAGCAUAAUGCAGAUGUUUCAGAGCUCUUUGUUCUGCUUGCAACCUCAGGGUGAUUCCUAUACAAGAAGGUCGGCCUUCGACUCCAUGUUGGCCGGUUGCAUCCCCGUUUUCUUCCAUCCUGGCUCGGCCUAUGUACAGUACACUUGGCAUCUUCCGAGGAACUACUCGACAUACUCGGUGUUCAUUCCAGAGGAUGACGUUCGAAAGAGGAAUGUAAGCAUCGAAGAAAGGCUAAAGCGAAUUCCUCCGGCUGUUGUUAAGGUCAUGAGGGAGAAGGUCAUAAGUCUGAUACCGGGGCUUAUAUAUGCGGAUCCUCGGUCUAGAUUGGAGACUCUGAAGGACGCCUUUGAUGUGUCUGUAGCGGCAAUCGUCGACAAAGUAACCAAGCUAAGGAGGGACAUAAUGGAGGACAAUGAGGACAAGGAUUUUAUUGAGGAGAACAGUUGGAAGUAUGUUUUGUUGGAGGAAGGGCAGAGAACAGUUGGGGCACACGAGUGGGAUCCAUUCUUCUCCAAACCAAAGGAUGGGAACAGUGAUUCUGGUGGUUCUUCUGCUACAACUGCUAAGAAUUCUUGGAGAAGUGAACAAAGGAAUCAGUAUUGACCUUCGUGUGAGAGUCACCUGGAUCAGAAGGCCAGCGCUUGAAACUGCUUGAGAUAUACAUGAAGGCAGCACGCACUAUGCGAAUUGUUUGUCAUCCAUAUAAGUGUGUUGAAUGAGCUGCCUGCAGAUUUCUAAGAACACCUGCUGAACCUGUUCUACGAGUAUAGAAGGUAGCUGCAGAAAUUAUCUGCCAUAUAUAAAUGUUUUGUGUUCCUGUCAGUGGUUCAUUUGUUUGAGCUCUGCUUUUACAUGUUCAACAAAGAUAAGAAUAUCAUGAAUUUAUUUCUUGUUAUUGGUGAGGAAGUCUGUCAUAUUUGUUGAGCAUGAACCCAAAGUUUGAUCGGAGUAGAGAUGGAGAGUUCUCUGGCUUCGCUAGCUGUAGUUUUGCAUGUGUGCGCCGGCAAUUACUGCUCUCGCUACCAGCUCAUGGAACCCCCGUGCACGCUCGGCGGCUACGUCCGCGGCAAUUCCCGCAGCUGCACCACCCAGGACUCUUCGGAUUGCUGCAAAGAAGGCGAGCUGUACCCCCAGUACCAGUGUUCGCCGCCGGUGACCAGAGACACGCCCGCCCACAUGACCAUCGCCAGCUUCGCGCAAGGCGGGGGCGGCGGAGACCCCGCGACGGCUGCUACCACGGCGACGACCAGAUGUUGGCGUCCUUGUCGACGGGAUGGUGCGACGACGGCAGCCGCUGUUCGAAGAACAUAAAGAUCAACGCCAAUGGCCAGACCGUGCUGGCCAAGGUGAUGGACGAGUGCGAUUCCUUGCACGGCUGUGACCAAGAGCACGCCUUCCAGCCGCCGUGUGCGCCCGACAUAGUCGACGCAUCCCGAGCAGUGUGGGAGGCUUUGGGGAUCCCUGAAUCGCAGAUCGGAGACGACGGCAUCACUUGGUCUGAUGAAUGAUAUGAAAGCAGGUGUAUUAGUAUUCCUAUGCACCCCUAAGCAUGUAUUCCUAUGCCAUAAUCGUACUAAUAAAGCAGCCGAACAAAGCUUGCUGAAGCUAAAUUUAUGCAAGAAUCUAUGAUGUGUCUCAUAAAUAUUAUCAUUUCAAGACCUUAAUAAUUAAUAUAUUACUGUAAUUAAAAAAUAUUUAUCCUCUUUAAGAAACCUAUUAAAGAAGAUAUUUUGAAUUAAAGGCAGACAGGCACCAAUUAAACCAAAAUGGUUGAGCGCCCACCCCCACCACGGCUUAUAUUUAUAAGCAAAAGCAAAAUGACGAGAUGCUGGUGGCCUUGUCCAUCGGGUGGUACAGCAGCAGAAGAUGCUUAAGUGUUAGAUUAUGUAAGUGAGCUUAUCUAAUUAAGUAAUAUAUUUUGAUUAUGAUUAUCGAUAUAUAGAAAGAAAAAAAGUCUUAUUAUAAGUUUUUUUUUUUUUUUUAAGAUGAUCUUGAUAGAAAGGACUCUCGUAAUUACUUAUUGUAGACCCUCUUCUAUCAUGAUAUUAUUAAGAGAUUAUAGAUAUUCUUUAAUCUUUUUUUUUCCCUAAAUUUAUCUUUUGUAGUGGUCUUGUCAAAUGAUAUAAAGAAAGGAGAAUAUAAGUCUAAUUCUUCAUGUAACUUUCGAAUUCGAUAAUAUUUUGCUUACAGAACAUAUAAAAGUUUUUUGAGAAUCAUCAAAAUAUACAUAUCAUAAAUUUAAAUCUAUUAUUAUUAGAUUUCAUAUUUUGAUAUUACAAUUUUUUACAUAAUAAAAUAAUAAUAAUUUUUAUGUUUACAAUUGGUAUUAGAGUCAUAGUUAUGAAAUUAAAUACUUUAGAUCCAUUUGUCAGCACUAUUGCUGCCAAUGACGAUUAUAGCAACAAUACUACGGUAGUGUUUGUUAGCCAUUACGAUAUCAACCGGAUACUAAAGGUCAUGGUUCCCAACAUCUACAUAGGAGGAUGCACAGGCACAGGCACAAUGGUGCAACAUGACGAGUGGUCGGGGAGGCCACGAGCAGGUGGCAGUAGUCGUGCCUCGCGUAGCGAUAGCAACACCUUGUGCAACCAACGAUUGCACCUCGUGCAGUGACCGCGGACGACAGUUGUGAUGCCACAUGUAGGCGACGACUAUGCACGACAGUUAGCACAGGCCCAUUUUAGGUUUCAUACAGAAAUUAUACUUUUACCUUUGUAAAUUCAUUUAGAUUUAAUUUAUGUUCUUUUGAUAAUUCUACGCUUCAGAAAAUUUAUAUUAUAUAUCCUACCGAAAUUUAUACUUUUACCCUUCAGAAAUUUAAAAUUUCUGAUUUUAUGUACAAUUUUAUGGCAUUCUAUGUGGACAAAUUUAUUAGACGAUUCUGCGUAAUCUAAAUGUAUGGUUUCAAGUCAGCAUCCAAAUAUGAAUUUAGCAUUGAUUGUUGCUAUGUUGAAUCAAGAGUCAGAUUCAUAAAAUCUUAACUUAGAUUUUUCUCUGGAUCGUUGCCGUUUCAACGUUUACCACACAGUUGUUGUCUUGAAUUGCAUACUAUUCGAUGUAUAUGUCUAAAGUUCACACGAGAAUUCAUGGGACGUAUCAGUGUUUGUCAACCGACAACCUUUGAUGCAGAGAAUCCGUCUUCCUUGCGUGUUGCACUAAAACAGCCAUCACUGACUUUUCCCAACACUUGAUUCGAUUGAUGGUGAGGAAGUCGUCAUAUUUGUUGAGCAUGACUCCAAAGUUUGAUCGGAGUAGAGAUGGAGAGUUCUAUGGCUUCACUAGCUAUAGUUUUGCAUGUGUGCGCCGGCAAUUACUGCUCUCGCUACCCGCUCACGGAACCCCCGUGCACCCCCAGCGGCUACGUCCGCGGCAAUUCCCGCAACUGCACCACCCAGGACCCUUCGGAUUGCUGCAAAGAAGGCGAGCUGUACCCCCAGUACCAGUGUUCGCCGCCGGUGACCGGAGACACGCCCGCCCACAUGACCAUCGCCAGCUUCGCGCAAGGCGGGGACGGCGGAGGCCCCGCGGAGUGCGACGGCCGCUACCACAGCGACGACCAGAUGCUGGUGUCCUUGUCGACGGGAUGGUACGACGACGGCAGCCGCUGCAACAGGAGCAUCAGGAUCAGCGGCAACGGCAGGUCUGUGCUGGCGAAGGUGGUCGACGAGUGCGACUCUGUUUACGGUUGAGAAGCCGACCAGAGUUACCCGCCGUGCUCCAACAACGUGAUCGUUGCGUCUCCGGCCGUGCGGACGGCGUUGGCGAUCCCGGAGGCCCAGGUUGGGGAUUACGACGUUACCUGGUCUGAUGCAUGACGGGUGGCGCAUGCAACCAUCGGAUAGAUGCCUCAUGUGGUGCUGCAGCACGCAUGCAAGUGAAUACUUUUCGAUACUGCUUUGGUAUUUAGCUUCGCAUCUAUGUGACUGAUCUAUUGCUUGUAUGUGUCAAACUCAUGCAUCCAAAGAGCAUGAAUUGAACAGAUCAUCACAUCAUUAACCAUGAAAUUUUAAGAAAUAUAGAUUCUAAUAUAGUAUAAAAAGUUAUGAUUAUUUUACAAUGCAUGCUUAAGAAAUUACAAUUUAGUUCUCAAAAUAUUAUAAUUCAAUUCUUGAGAUAUUAUGUAUCUCCCGUUGCAUAUCAUUGAUCAUUCCUUGGAACAAUAGAGAUAAAACCAAUCUUUGUCUGUCUUCCCUUUCGGUAAUUCGCUUGCAGGCUUUUGAGUUGUGAUUGGUCAAACAGCGAUAGUCAAUGUUUCUGCUUUUGUCUUGACACCUUUUACAAAUAGGUUUGGAUUGAUUGUUGCUUGCCGUUCUCCCCUUCCUCUGUUCUAUUUAUGAAUAAGCAAAGAAUUUUACACUUAAAAUUUAUUAAGAAUGAUAGGAUAUUGUAGAUAUCUUAUUAUAUAUAGAUAGGAUAUUAUUUUUAAAAUUUAUUAUUAUUUUAUAGAUAUAAUGUGUAUAUAUUUUUUAUUUGUAAGGAUCGAAAGCCUGAUGGGCUAAUUAGCCUAUCAACUUCGAACCAUUGACCAAAAUGCUUAAGCUGAAAUUGAUAAUAGUACACUCAUUAGACUUUUAUAAGUCAAUCUUAAUAUUAUCCACUUUCAAUGUGAAACUAAUCAGGGGUGUUACAAUGAUAAAUUAUCAUUAUCUUAGGAGUUGGCUAUAUCUCUUCUUAAUCUCUUCUUAAUCUGUAAGGUUGGCUUCUCUUGAUAAAGAAUUCCUGGAGAAGUGAACAAAGGAAAUCAGUCUGGACCUUAUUGCGACAUCCACCUCAGUAAUAAGGCCAUCCAUGAGACUGAUUGAUGAUCGACAUGAAGGCAGCACUCAAUGUGAUUUUUCUUUUAUCAUCCAUGUAAGUGUGUGUGUUGAAUGAGCUGCCUGCAGGAUUUCUAAGAACACCACCUACUGGACCUUUUCUACAAGUACAGAAGGUAGCAGCAGAUGUUAUCUGCCAUAUUUAUGUUUUGUGUUCCUGUGAGUGGUUCAUUUGUUUGAGCUCUGCUUCUUUCACAUGAUCAACAAAGAUGAGAAUAUCUUUUGUUAUGGGAUACUCGAAUCAGAUUGUUGGAUAUGUUACAUGGAAAUGCAGAUGGGGAACACUACAAGUGGAUGAGUGAUGACAACUAAUGAAAAGCCAAUCUAAACAGAGAGAUGAAUGAUCAAAGAGAGGGACUUUAUGUUCCUUCUCUAUUAAUUAUGGCUUUGCAAGAGUGAGUCAUCAUCCUGUAGAUGUUGGUAGUAGCAAAAACAAAGUGAGGUAUGGCCAUCUUCCAACAAUCUAUUCUGGAGAUUUCUUCUGGUGCUUUCCAUGAAGCUGCUCAUGACUUUUCCUGGUAGAACUAAUGCGACUUUCAUUCCAGAUCAUCUGGAAAAAGGAAAUACAACUGAACACUCAUCCUAGCAAUCAGAAUGAUUCGAAUACUGGUUUGACAUUGUGAAAUCUGCAUCACACAGCUGGUUAUGGGAGAUUAAUAGAUAUUAGUAGGAAAGAAAAAUAAUCUCAGUGAUCACUCACUGCCGUCACCGUUUCUGAGCUCAAACUUCAUUGGGCGUCUUCGAAGGAAUGCCAUCGUUGUGCGAGUCAAGUCAACCCAUGGCUUUCUUCGACGCCGCGAUUGUCGCUCAAUAGCAUCAGAUAGAAACUUCGUGGUGACUUGCCGUCCUGAUUACGCUAAGACCAAUUGUGUUCUCUUGCUAAUAUAAGCAUGCCAUGGCUUCGAUCCCUUGGACAUGAAAGUUCUCCUCGGAACCAAAAAGAGAGCUUACCGUGAAUGAGUUUGACGCCAUGGCAAUUCCUCCACCUUCUUUGCUCGUCCUGGUGUUGGUAGCACACGUUUGUCUUGGCAGCUACCUCCACUUCUCUUAUGCCCAACAGUGCAGCCCAAACGGGCAGAUCACCGGCGUCUCCGGGGACUGUAACACCGACAACAACGCCGACUGCUGCGUGAACGGCCAGAUGUACGACACCUACAGCUGCUCGCCGACGGUGACGGGGGAAACGCAGGCGCACAUGACCAUCAACAGCUUCGCUGAAGGUGGAGACGGCGGUGGGCCUUCCAAGUGCGACGGAAGCUACCACAGCGACAACGAGCUCGUCGUCGCGCUCUCCACCGGAUGGUACGACGGCGGCAGCCGCUGUUCGAAGAACAUAAAGAUCAACGCCAAUGGCCAGACCAUGCUGGCCAAGGUGGUGGACGAGUGCGAUUCCUUGCACGGCUGUGACCAAGAGCACGCCUUCCAGCCGCCGUGUGCGCCCAACAUAGUCGACGCAUCUCGAGCAGUGUGGGAGGCUUUGGGGAUCCCUGAAUCGCAGAUCGGAGACUACGACAUCACUUGGUCUGAUGAAUGAUAUGAAAGCAGGUGGAUUAGGAUUCCAGUGCACCCCUAAGCAUGUAUUCAUUCCUAUGCCAUAAUCGUACGAAUAAAGCAGCCGAACAGAGCUUGCUGUAAGCUAAAUCUAUGCAAGAAUCUAUGAUGUGUCUCAUAAAUCUUAUCAUUUCAAGACCUUAAUAAUUAAUACAUUACUGUAAUUAAAAAAAAUAUUUAUCCUCUUUAAGAAACCUAUUGAAGAAACUAUUUUGAAUUAAAGGCAGACUGGCACCAAUUGAACCAAAAAGGUUGAGCGGAGCCACCCCACCCCGGCUUAUUUGUCGAGCUUCAGCAGCAGCCGAUGCAACAAGAACAUCAAGAAGAUCAACGCCAACGGGAGGACUGUGUUGGCGAAGGUCACCGACGAGUGCGACUCGGUGAACGGCUGCGACGCGGAGAAUAGCUUCGAGCCGCCGUGCCGAAACGACGUCGUCACCGCGUCUGCGGCGGUGCGGAAGGCGUUGGCGAUCCCCGAAGCCCAGAUUGGAUAUUAUGAUGUCGCUUGGUCUGAUGCAUGACUUUGAUGCGCAGAAGAACGUAAACAUUGCUUGGAAUUGAUGGUUUGCAGGUUGCAAAUCUGCAUGACCUGAAACACCAGAGCAUGGGUGACCGAUUUCUGUGAAUUCUAGUUAUCGAUCUGCAGCUUUCAAUCGAUAGUGCGGCGACACUGUUGGAUGUCUCCGAGAUCAUUGUAACAAAUAUAACCCAUUAAUUUAUAAGCUUUUCCAAACAAUGUUUGUAACGGAGGUAAAGUCAACCGACAGAAAGUCAACUGGACAGACCAAUGUUACAAGGAAAUGCUUGUUCUGCUAAUUACUUCGAUGCGUCUGAUGAUGAGUUGAAUGUAUCUUAGACCAAGGAACAGAAAACUAUGAUGAUAUAUGGAGAUUCGAGUGGGUGGGACAAACUGGACAUGGAUAACAAGGGAUUCAUCAUCCAACAACAAUGUCACACCACUUCUUCGCACCUGCUCCCAUACACACAGUUGCAGGGGGAGGUUGGAAAAUGUGCAGCCAAUGUCGAAUGGGAGCAGUUAUUUCUCAUUCUUUUUGUUGGAUCUUGCGUUAGCACAAGGAACCCUUGCGGCACUGGAGAGCCCCUGCCCCUGCAGUGAUGGAAGCAACCAUGGAGGAGGUCUUGGCCCCGAGGCUGGAGGCCCUUGAGUAGCUUGCGGAGGCACCAGCUCCCGAAGGGGUGAAGUAAGCACCAUUCAGUAGCAGGUCCCCCUCUGAUCUCCAAUUCCAGCUCUUCCAAGUAUCACUCGAAGUGGCCACUCUCUUAGUCACCUGCAAAACAGAGCUAACUCGUGGAAUAUUGUGGUUGAUGCUGAAGGAACUCUUAGAUCCAUAAUCGAGACUAAUUUACCUCCUUGGCAAAAGGAUCGGUAGGUGCAAGGUAUCUGUUGCCUUGGCUGUUGAUGGUCGGAUUCGCACUUCCUCCAAUGGCGUACAUCUCCCAGUGAGUGUAAUCGUUGUUCACCACAUGGAAGUAACCAUGCCUGCACCUGCAAUUCGUCACGGUGGUAAAACUCGAUAAUAAACAGGACAUCCGUAAUCUAAUGACUUGUGUGUAAGCCUACAACUCCGGUCCCCUGCAGAGAUCUUGGAGUACCUUGGCAUUCUCUGAACGAGUCCUUCACCGAAAUGGUUGAAGGCAAUGGUCACCUGCAUAGCCUUGUCCCUUUUGUAGGAAUCACUGUGACCCAAAAGCAUCACCUGUACAAGAUUAAUCUGUCACUCGAGCUCACAAAACACACGUAGCGUUCGUUACAUGAGUUUCGUUAAGGAAGAGGGGAGAUACCUCGUUGUGGUGGGUGAAGUAAUUGUUGGAGAUGGUGAUGGCCGUGGAGCCCAUAACGGCAUCGACGAGGCCGUCGGCGCAGUUGGACAGGGAGUUGUGGUCGACCCAGAUGUGGCUGGAACCGAAGAUGGAAAUGGCGUCGCCGUCGGCCAUGGUCCUCCAGCCGUAGUGGGAGGGGGAGCUGCGGACCAUGGCGUUGCCGGUGGGCUUGCAGUCGUGGAUGUGGAGGCCGUGGAUGAUGACGUUGGUGACGAACUGGAUGGUGAUGCAGGCGCCGUUGGCGAUGUGGACGUUGGCGCCGCGGCCGUCGAUGGUCUUGAAACCGUUCAUGAUGAGCUCCUGCUUGAGGGCGAUGACCAUGUCGCGCUUGAACACGAUCCAGAGGGGCUCGUCCUGGAUGACGGCGUAGCGGAGUGUGCCGGGGAGGGGGUUCACGGGGUCGUCGUCGCUGGGGUCGGUCACGUGGUAGAAGCGCCCGUUGCGGCCGCCGAUGGCGCUGCGGCCGAACCCGAUGCCGCAGUCGGCGAGGCGCUUCCGGCGGAGGUGCCACUUGGGGUCGCAGCGCCAACAGUCGUCGAUGGGGUUUCCCGUAACGCAUGUGGAAAGGUCGUCGAGCGACCGGCGCGCCGUGCCGUUGCUGAUCUGCCUGCUCAAACAACAUUCAUCAUCGUGAAGAAGAAUUAGUGCCACAACUACAAUUGCAAGACCGAUUGCAAAUCGUAAAAAGAGAACAUGAUGAUUGAGAAAGAAAGACGAUGUUUAAUCCCUCAAAUUUGAACCACAAUAAACCACAGACAGAGAGCGGUGGGGGUCUCCAGAUCAACAAAACACGAAAAGGCUAUACCUAAGUCAAACAAUUGCUGAUGCACGAUCCUCGAUGCGACACACCACCACCCACAAGUUUAAAUGGGAUCCACCUCGACGGCCAUAACAACCAUAGCUCGACUGGGGGUACCACUGGUUGUUACUCGAUCGGAUCGGCAUGCGUUUGGUAACGGGAAGAAACACAGGAUCGGAGAAGACGUGAGGGCAGAGAAUAGGACGUGUCACGGCCCACACGCCCCAGUCCACGAUGGUAAUUCAAUAUAGACAGCCAGCCAGGAAUUGCCUUUGACCGACCGAAACAACUCAUUUUGCAACUAGGAAAGGAAUCCGACGUACGCGUAGUGUUCAUAGGAAUCAAGUCAGAAGCAACAGGAGAUUGAUCCGAGAUUAAUGUAUGCGGCUCCAAUUUGCUUCUUUGGUAUACUUGUAAUAACUGUAAAAAGAAGGCAACAAAGUGGUGGGCUUACAUGUUCACUUUUGACGCUAUAAAUUCUGGGUCGUCCACCGCGCCAACCACCACGUCACUUUCGAACCUGGUUCACUUAGUGGACUCAACAGUCAGUCGCUGUAAUCGUUCGUUCCACAUUUCGAUCGAAGAGAUGAUAGAAUUAUUAUUAUUAUUAUUAUUAUUAUUGUUAUAUAUAUAUAAAUUAAGAGAUGACCUGACCUCUGCGCCGUGGCGGAAGAGGUGUCGUUCUCCGCGGUUGCCGUCACGCUCCGCGGAGCCAUUGCCGCAGCAGCUCCGACCCUGAAAGAGACUCGAAGACAUUAGACCAACGUUUGAACUUUGGAUCGAAGGUGAGAUCACCGAAUUCGCUUGAACUCCCAAACAGAGGAGCGAAGAGAAGGCAAAGGGUUUCCCACACGCCAUAGCUCCUCACGAUUCUUCCAAAAGACCAGCACAAAUCGAUGAUCGGAAAAUGUACCUCGAGGGGAACGAUUCCCGGCCUCCCGUAGAUAGGAUCACGAAGAGACCGAGCAAAAUCAGCGACGACGACCUUCUCCGAAGCACCAUCGCCAUCAAUGCCGUUGCCUCCGUAACCUCCCUUUCCUCUUCCCACGCAGAUCGGUAGCUUUCUCUCUAUUCGCUGUCAGUCCACAGGGAGGUAUAGAAAGGUCAAGGGAAGGGAGGGAGUCCAACUGAAGCCGACGACGGAACCGCCAUCUUAUAGGGACGUUCCACUCUACUUCUACCCCACUCCCCAACUUAACGGGCGUCACCUUCGCUAACGGCGUGAGGGGGGCACCGACGACGACGACGGUGCGGGCAGCGUCAAUUCGUGCGAUUGACGCCCCAACUAAUAUUAACCGUUCGGUCCAACUGAGCUGGGGCCGGGGUGACACGUGUGAUGGCGUACCAGCAGGAGCCGGUUGCUGCGGCACUAGUUACGAGCGCUAACUCACGGGUCGACUCGGUGCCAACUGGGCAACCAGAACGACCAAAGUGGACCGAGUUGACUGUGUCAUCCGCUUGUCGUCUCUCUCGCUUUUAAUAUCGUGGUGUAGCAAUGCUGCAGGUCUCCAUAAAUGGCGCAGCAAAGAUGGGUUGCAGGGGAGGAUAUCGGCAACGAGAAAUAGAAACCUUUUCGUCGAAGCUACCACCCUGCAUGCAUGCUUGAGUGCACCCAAAGGCUUCAAUGGAAUUAUGGUGUUUGGCCAAGUUAUAAGCAUGGACCGGUUUGGAUUUUGAUUUGAGUUAAGAUUUAAUGUUCAGAAUAAUCGGUAGUGGUGUCAAAGCAAAUUUUGCUCGUUUGAUAUAAUUUUCACAUCUGAUAUAGUCGUAAUUAUAUUGAUUUAAUAAACAUGAUGAAAUAUUUUACUUCUUAAUUGAGGAAUCGCACAAGACUGUUCAUUUUUAUUUGAUACAUCAUCAUCAUCAUCAUCAUCAUCAUCAUCAUCAUCAUCAUCAUCGGAUCACUAAACUUUUAGAAAUCAUUCCUUCGUGAUGUCGUGCAUUAUAUGAAAACCGGAAACAGAGUCAUGUAAAAGGAGAAUUGCUUGGCCCGUUCGUAUCAGUGCAUAUCAUACUGUACCUUAGUGCAAGAUCACGGAAACAUUUCUCCACAUUUUCUCGUGUCUUUGCACUGCACUCGAGAAACACCUACCCAUUUGUUUUCGCCAAGGCACUUGCUUCUUCCCUUGUCACCUUCCUAUCACUCACCUUGUACGUAUCUGCACAGAGCAGUGGUUAGGAUCGCGAUGGUGUGCAUCGCAGCUCCACAUAAUGCAAUGAGAAAGUCACAAAGAGAAAUGAUUGAGUCGUGGUUAAGUUACAGAUAAAAGCAAUCUUCAUAAGGAUGGCCGCAAGCUACGGCAAUGAUAAAGCAACGUAGAUAAUGGCAUAAAACAUGCAACUAGUUUAGAGGAAUGAAACUUGAUCUGGGGAACCAUGAAUGAAAACAUAAAAGGGAGAUGGGGUAACCCAUGAUUAUUCCAUGCGCGCAUCGAUAGUAAUCUUUAGUGACCGUCCUAUACCUCUGUUGUCCAGCUGCAAAAAUAAGCAAUUAUUGUUGUUAUUAUUAUUAUAUCUAAAAAGAGCAUGAAUAAACGAUCUUAUCGUAGAUCCAUUGUGAUCUUGAAAUUGUCUAAAAAUGGAAACAGCAACCCUAGUCGCCAUCUUCAUAUCUGGUUUACUUGUAAGCUUUACUGGGUACGCCUUAUAUACCGCUUUUGAGUAACCCUCUCAACAACUAAGAGAUCCAUUCGAAGAACACGGGGACUAGUUGAAGUAAUGAACCUCUCAUAUAGGGAGACUCGUUACUUCAAUUGAGAUAAUGAAAAAUUAUUU